AUGAAGAACAGCAAGAAAGAUCAAAAAAAAAAAAAUCUCCCUGCAGAAGAGGGCAUGGUGCAUGUAUCUGCAAGUUGCAGCAGCCCGGAGAACAAAAAGGCUGCUGUUUGGAAAUUAAGGCAGAAGUAUAACGAGCUUAAAGGAACAGCGCAAGGAAAACUGAGAGUCCCAGCACUGCCCGGACCAAGAACAGCCCCGUCCCUGUGUCAUUGUCCUGGAGCCCAGGGGGUGCAGAUGUUACAGAAACCCAAAGCAGAGAGCUCCUUGUGCCUCGAGAGCACUCACUUGUGUCCUGGAUGACUUCAUAACUACAGGAAACAGAGCAGGAAAAGUGAGGUGACCAGUGCUCGGCCUUUUUCCCGCUGGCUGCACGGAGACCUGAGCGUGCAAGGAACAAAGAUGAUGCUGGCCCUGUAAGGAGGGCCAGGCUGCCUUGUUCUGAGAUCUGUUUUCUUUGCAAGCAUGGAUACUAUUUAAAAAACAAACAUUGCCCUGGAAUUAAAAUCUGAAAAAACUUUCUGCUUUGAAAACAUCAGAGUAUUUGGUGGGUUGGGUUUUAAUGUCAUGUUUUCGUAAUGUAAAAACCAUUCAAGUCCAAACGCAAGCUCCUAAAUAGCUGUUUUGCUGUAACCUAAUUAUCAGUGGAAACUGGAAUUCAACUUAAGUCACAGUGCAGGGAAAUGAAACAGCAUGGGCAGAGUGAAAGGCUGCUUGUCUGCCUGAACUAGAGCAUUGCACUCAUAUUUGAAGGAAGCGGGUAAACUUCUGGUGAAAAUGUCACCAGCAUUUCUGCCAAACGUUGCGACUUCAGCAAAUCUGCGUUCUCUGCUGGUAAUAUGUCCCAUCAGAGGAGGAGCAGCCUCCUCCUGCUCCAGCAGCGAGCCAAAGGGGAUUCCCAGGGGCUGGGGAGCAGAGGAUGCUCUCCUGCAGGCGCUGCUGCGUGCCAGGAGCUGAGAAGAGGGCUGAUCUCCUCGAGUCCUGCACACAUUGCCUAGGAGUGGGGGGAGACCUUGGUCUGUCAUCUGUCCCUUUGAACAGUCCCAGAGCGGACACAGGUUCAUUCAUCUUCUCUAAAAAAAAGUGAGGAUCAGUACAACUGGUGCUUUCAUUUGCUGCUUGCAUGCCUGGUGCAUGCAGGAGAUCUGUUAAGCUCCUUAAAACAUGUUUUAUUUUGCUCCGUUAACAAGUUUGACAUUGGAAAAGGAUAUGUUGCUCUAUUCAUCAUUUCAAUGAUGGUUUUGGGAAGGGAAUAAGAAGGCACUGAACAUCCCUUGCUCUGUGCAAGGCGAUUUUUUGUCUCUUUUUUUUUUUUUUUGGUAUU
Molecule: long non-coding RNA, 1321 nt
Filed under: Anser cygnoides (Swan goose)
Lineage: Eukaryota; Metazoa; Chordata; Aves; Anseriformes; Anatidae
Description: lncRNA (ENSACDG00005015536.1)
Source: RNAcentral